CCUACGGGAGGCUGCAGUGGGGAAUAUUGCACAAUGGGGGAAACCCUGAAGCAGCGACGUCGCGUGAGUGAAGAAGUACCUAGUGAUGUAAAGCUUUAUCAGUAGGGAAGAAAAUGACUGUACCUGAGUAAGAAGCUCCGGCUAACUACGUGCCAGCAGCCGCGGUAAUAUGGAGGGGGCAAGCGUUAUCCGGAUUUACUGGGUGUAAGGGGAGCGUAGUCGGCAGUGUAAGUCUGGAGUGAAAGGCGGGGGCUCAACCGCCGGACUGCUCUGGAAACUGUACGGCUUGAGUGCAGGAGAGGUAAGUGGAAUUCGUGGUGUAGCGGUGAAAUGCGUAGAUAUCACGAAGAACUCCAGUGGCGAAGGCAGCUUACUGGACUGUAACUGACGUUGAGGCUCGAAAGCGUGGGUAGCAAACAGGAUUAGAUACCCGAGUAGUC
Molecule: ribosomal RNA, 440 nt
Filed under: uncultured bacterium
Lineage: Bacteria
Description: partial 16S ribosomal RNA
Rfam family: Bacterial small subunit ribosomal RNA
Source: RNAcentral